UGCCCCCGCGAGACCACCUGGGCCUCAGUGUCUUCUCCAUGCUCUGCUGCUUCUGGCCUCUGGGCAUCGCAGCCUUCUACUUGUCCCAUGAGUCCCUUUCAGAUCAAUUCGUUGGCCGUCAACUGGACACCUGCCACGUUCGCAUGUUUAGUCUCAUUGGAUUCAAUGGAUAUCACUGGUCACAAAGCAUCCUCCUUGCUCAGGCAUUUGCAGCCUGUGUAGAUGGUAAAGGGGGGCACACCCCUUGCUGGUGGGGCGCAAAGAGCCUCUGAGUGCUGAGGAGGGGGGAAUGCAGUACCCUGGGUGUGCUGAAGGCUGUCUGACCCUGUCCUCCACUGGGAGUCCAUGAACAGAUUUCUCUCUGAAUUCCCUCCUCCUUCUUCACCUCGUGUCCUUUUCCAUGGUCCUCUUCCAGA
This 416-nucleotide small RNA is filed under the name Pongo abelii (Sumatran orangutan). RNAcentral describes it as "processed transcript". Lineage: Eukaryota; Metazoa; Chordata; Mammalia; Primates; Hominidae. The record is from RNAcentral.